Molecule: microRNA precursor, 76 nt
Filed under: Notamacropus eugenii (tammar wallaby)
Lineage: Eukaryota; Metazoa; Chordata; Mammalia; Diprotodontia; Macropodidae
Description: miRNA (ENSMEUG00000018222.1)
Source: RNAcentral
CUGGGGAUUCAAAGAAAGGCAAAAAAAGUGCCUGCUCUCAAGGAGCUCCCAGUAGAAUGCAGGAGUCAACAUGCAA